AGCUCCAAUAGCGUAUAUUUAAGUUGUUGCAGUUAAAAAGCUCGUAGUUGGAUUUCGGGUGUGGGGCGCCGGUCCGCUUCGGUGUGCACUGGCGGCCCAGGCCUUCUUGUCGGGGAUGCGCUCUGGUAUUGAUUUAUCGGACGCAGAGUCGGCGCAGUUACUUUGAAAAAAUUAGAGUGUUCAAGGCAGGCUUUGAGGCUUGAAUACAUGAGCAUGGAAUAAUGGAAUAGGACCUCGGUCCCUAUUUCGUUGGUUUUACGGACCGAAGUAAUGAUUAAGAGGGACAAUUGGGGGCAUCCGUAUUUCGUAGUCAGAGGUGAAAUUCUUGGACCUACGAAAGACGAACAACUGCGAAAGCAUUUGCCAAGAGUGUUUUCAUUAAUCAAGAACGAAAGUACGC
RNAcentral lists this ribosomal RNA (400 nucleotides) under phytoplankton environmental sample. RNAcentral describes it as "partial small subunit ribosomal RNA". It matches the Rfam family "Eukaryotic small subunit ribosomal RNA", at positions 587 to 994 of the family's 1831-position model. The record is from RNAcentral.